AUUUCUCUAGGAUGUUUACUUGGGAGUAGAAUUACAAGGCCGUAGGCUCGUGUGCUCCUUCACCUCCUGUCCUUUCGAAGCCACGUGUGCUCCCCGAAGCCCUGGACCAGAGCAUUGGUUGCUUGGUGUCUUCACCAAUCCUUGAUAUCAUCCACUUUCUUCAUUUUCGUCGGUCUGAUGUGACUCCCUGCCCCGCCCUGGACACUCCGAGCCAUGGCCGACACCAUCUUCGGCAGUGGGAAUGACCAGUGGGUUUGCCCCAAUGAUCGGCAGCUCGCCCUGCGAGCCAAGCUGCAGACGGGCUGGUCUGUGCACACCUACCAGACAGAGAAGCAGAGGAAGAGCCAGUGCCUCAGCCCUGCUGAGGUGGAGGCCAUCUUGCAGGUCAUCCAGAGGGCAGAGCGGCUGGACGUCAUGGAGCAGCAGAGAAUCGGACGGCUGGUGGAGCGGCUGGAGACCAUGAGGCGGAACGUGAUGGGGAAUGGCCUUUCCCAGUGUCUGCUCUGUGGGGAGGUGCUAGGCUUCUUGGGCAGCUCAUCAGUGUUCUGCAAAGACUGCAGGAAGAAAGUCUGCACGAAAUGUGGGAUCGAGGCCUCCCCUGGCCAGAAGAGGCCUCUUUGGCUGUGUAAGAUCUGCAGCGAGCAGAGAGAGGUCUGGAAGAGGUCGGGGGCCUGGUUCUACAAAGGGCUCCCCAAGUACAUCCUGCCGCUGAAGACCCCCGGCCGGGCCGAUGACCCCCACUUCCGACCUCUGCCCAUGGAGCCCACCGAGCAAAAGCCCAGAAGCACUGAGACUAGUCGUGUCUACACGUGGGCCCGAGGGAGAGUGGUUUCCAGUGACAGUGACAGUGACUCAGAUCUCAGCACCUCUAGCCUGGAGGACAGACUUCUUCUGACAGGGGUCAGGGAGCCCACAGGUGCCAAGCCCUUCGGAGAAGCAGAGCGGGACAUAGAGGAGACCCAGAUGGAUCGGCAGGGGCGAAGGGAGGAUGGCAGAUCUAGCACACCUGCCUGCACACCUGGAUCCCCGCUAGGCUCCCAGCGAGCAUCCCCAGGGUGGCAGCAUGGAGUCCCCCAAGAUGGGGCCCCCCCGCCGGCCCAGCCCCCUCUCCGGGAGCCAGAGCAGUCUGGCCAGUGAAACUGGGACCAGCUCUGCAGACCCGCAGGGCACCUCACCCUGGCCAGACCCGAAGAGCCCCGGCAAAAGGCCUGCCUGGGCAAUUCCCCGUUGCUGACACGACGACCUCCGAAGGGCCCGCCUGCCUGCUCCAGCAGAGACAUGUUUGGUGCACGGAGCCGACUUUGCAGUGGAGGAGUUCGAGAGAGAAAGCGAGCUGGGAGGGUCUGGUGAGCAGUCUGGAGCCCUCAGCUGGACAGCCCUGUUGGACGUGACCUCCGACUCAACCAACCAGUGUUUGGGGGCUGAGUCUCCUAACCCCCACUCAGUGCCUUUCUGCCCCCUUCUUCCCUGGGAGCCCUCCUCCCUCCCCCCCCCCCCGACAGCCACCCCACUCAGCCCUGACCUUUAUUUAUUGCCCUUCCCUUGCACCCUCCCCCAGUCUACCUCCAUAUUCAUUUUAAGUUUGGUCUUGUCUUGGGGUGGGCCGGAAGGGCCUGCAGACCGGCCUUAUGGGGCCCUCCCAUAUGCACUGCAGCAGGCACUGGGCUGGGCUUUCUCCUAUUAAUGGAAGAAGAACCCAUUACCCUUCAAAACUGAGCUUGGACCCUAGAGAUGAGCAGUGGGUCCUAGAGGGUGCUGGGUGAGAGGCUUGCCCACCCUUCCGCCUCCCGAGGACUCUGGGAGCAGAAGCAGCACCCUCCUUGGCUCAAGAUUGGCUCAGGUGCUGCUGUCGAAUGCUGGCCCUUGCUUGGGUUUCUGGGGACUCCUCUGACAGCCUCCCCAGGUUCUGCUCAGCCUCUCUCCAGCUCGUGGACCAAGGAAGGGCUCUGGGGGAUACGGUGAAUUCCCUCAUUGAAGAGCAGUCUUCAGCUGCGUCCCCAGCUGGGGGACAAGUCUCCCCUAAGCCUUUAAAAUUCACUCCUCUUCAGUGGCUUCGGUUGGGCAUGAAAAAUAAUUUAGACGGUGAGCAAAUGCUUCUGAAAAACCCUUCCCUGAAGACAGAGCUUGAGAGAGAGAGAGAGAGAGAGAGAGUGUGUGUGUGUGUGUGUGUUGGUAUCCCCAUCUCUCCAUCCGGCCACUCUCCCACUGCCCCGUACUCCUGUUCCUCGAAGGGCCUUCUCUCCGGGCUCUCAGGCCCCCACCGUUAGCUUUUUUGCCCUUGCCGCUGGCAGGUGGUAAAAAGACAUACUGUUUCUCUGUGACAAGUUAUGCUUCAAAAUCUGUAACAAUAAAGAUUAGAAUUUGCAUUGA
Mustela lutreola (European mink) is the source of this 2370-nucleotide RNA transcript. It is a transcript of the gene named rabphilin 3A like (without C2 domains), with no coding region annotated. The transcript has 10 exons. The record is from RefSeq and is a predicted model, not a curated record. Lineage: Eukaryota; Metazoa; Chordata; Mammalia; Carnivora; Mustelidae.